Molecule: non-coding RNA, 745 nt
Filed under: Mycopsylla proxima
Lineage: Eukaryota; Metazoa; Arthropoda; Insecta; Hemiptera; Carsidaridae
Source: RNAcentral
AAUAUAUUUUAUUUUGGUAGUCAUAUUUUCUUAUUUCUUUAUUUUACAUAUUUUUUUUAAUUUUGAUAAUUUUAAUUUUUAUAGUAAAUAUUUUUUUUAUUAAUUUUUAUAUUUGAUGAAGUUAUAGAAUAAAAAAUUAACAUAUUUUGUGCCAGCAGUUGCGGUUAUACAAUUAAUUUGAGGGAAAUUUAAUUGAUAAGUAAUUAUUUUAAAAAAAUUAAAUAAUAAAUUUAAAUUUAGGGGUAAAAUUUAAAUUUAUUAAAUUAUUUUAUUUAUAAUAUAAUUAUGAAAUUAAAAAGUAAAUCAGGAUUAGAUACCCUGCUAUUUUUAAUGUAAAUUUUUUGGAGUAGUAAAAGUUAUGAUCUCUAAACUUAAAAAAUUUGGCGGUAUUUUAUCUUAUUAGAGGAAUCUGUUUAUUAAUCGAUAUUCCACGACUAAAAUUUACUUUUAUAAUUUUACUUAUAUACCGCUGUCAUGAAUAUAUUAAUAUAUAAUUUUCUAUUUAUUUUUAUUAGUUUUAUGUUAGGUCAAGGUGUAGUUUUAAAAAGAAAAAAAUGGAUUACUAUAAAAAUUAUGAAUGGAAAGAUUUUAUGUAUUUUAUGAAAAUAGGAUUUAAAAGUAAUUUUAAUUUAUAGAAAUUGAAUGAAAAAGAUUCUAAAAUAUGCACACAUUGCCCGUCACUCUUAUAUUAAUAUAAGAUAAGUCGUAACAUAGUAAAUGUACCGGAAGGUGUAUUUGAAAAUAA